Triticum dicoccoides is the source of this 2034-nucleotide long non-coding RNA. RefSeq lists it as uncharacterized. The record is from RefSeq and is a predicted model, not a curated record. NCBI's taxonomy places the organism in Eukaryota, Viridiplantae, Streptophyta, Magnoliopsida, Poales, Poaceae. The transcript is spliced from 3 exons.
GCCACGCCCGAUUCCACCCCUUGGCUGGCCGGCGAGCCUCUCCGCCGGUAGAUCCGCCCAUUCCAGCCCCGUUCCCGUCGGAUCCCGUCCCCAAGGAGCACUUUCUAGCGCCGCCAGCCAGGAGCAGCAACCUCACCGGCAGGAGACGCCCACCUUGAAGCCAUUGAUGCCGGUGCUCACCAUGUCGUCCUCUGAGCCAGCCUCCUCGCCCUCGCCCCCUCGCCCCAAUCCAAGGUGAGCUCGCCUUUGCAUCUUCCCUAUGGCUGGUGAUGGUACUGUACAAGUGCUGGGAGAAGCUGUCAAGCGUGCCGAACGCGUCGGAAUCGCCAGGUGAAGUGAGAAGCUAGCUCUAGAAGCUGGAUUUGUGAAGUUUUAAGAAGCUAGAUAGAUUCCGAACACGCCCUAAGACUUCAAUUUUUCAAUGCAAGAUGUUCAUCUAAAUUCAUCUUGAUUGAUUGUUUUUGUCUUGUACAUCCAUCGUUAUUUAUUGACCAUCACUUGGUUUGUCAAUAUAAGCUGUAGGAAUAUUGUGAAGUGAGGUUAGGAAGACAAAAAGAGCUCUAUAAAUUUAGGGUUCACUCUGUAGAUAUGUCAGCUUCAUAGAAAAAGUAGCAGCAAUAGCAACAGCAACACAGGCAUAGAGCACGCGCGCACAUGCAAAGCAGCAAGCAGAGACCUAAUAGCAGACAGAAGUUUCUCAUCGGUCGUCGAGGAUGAGGAUAAUGAUCUAGAGCUUCCUCCUGCAGAGCGGGCAUGAUCCAUGCUUGAUCAGCCAGUGGAACAUGUGCCAGCAAUCGAGCAAGCUCUGCACUUUCUCCCUGACAUGGAAAUCCUGAAAACCACUAAAAUGGGAAAAGUUCAUAAAGAUUUACGUCGCUGAAAAAUGAAAAUUAACAAUUGAUGAGCUCAUAAGAUUGAAAAAAAACAAAGCUAUUGAUUAUGACAGUAUCAGCAGAAUGUUACAUUACAGAGAGGUUUAUUCUUUCGAGUUCUUUUAGGGUGAUUGGAGAGUUACAACUCGUAAUUUCAUGUAACUCCACCUCUAGAUUUUUCUGUCCGUUAGAUCUGCAAAACUCACUUAAAUAUUAUUUUUUAUAAUAAGGGUAUAAUAGUCCAAUCUGUGUCCCGCGUUGAAGCAUCAAACGUGCGCAGGCCCAGCAAGGCCCGAGACAGAGCCACGCAGAGUCCAUCCCUCAUUCCUCUCACCGUCUUUCGCGGGCGAUGCUAACCCUAGAGCCGCCGCCGGCCGCCGCCACUUCGCCUGCCAGCGGCUCCGACCAUGACAUCCAACUUCUCCCGACAUCAGCGCUCCUUCCCCAGAAGGUCUCCUCCUUGGCCCUCGGAUUAAUCUCCGCUCCCGCCCCCUCCGGGUCCCUCGUGAAUCGUGAGACGGCGCGAGAGGGUACAUGGUGAAGGCACCGAGGCUGCAUCCACUGCCGUGCAUGCCGCCCGGUGCAGGAUCCUCGGGGACGCGGAGGAGCAUGGUGGAGUACAACGGCAAGGAGACGCCCUCAGCAUGGAAUGACCUUACUGCUCCUGUGCUCCAUCUCCAACAUAACUCCGGCUGCUAUAGCCAGUUUGGUCUUCUGUUCUACAUUGAUCCGUUUAGGGAGGACGAAGGAGCCGCAGUUGUCAGGGCUGCGGCAGGCGAGCAGGGACGCGACUGGAGAUUGAUCAGAGACUGCAACAUAUUGUUAGCUUCAUGAGGUUGGGAGCAACUAGAUCUGGACCUCCCCGCAACUGACUAGAAAAGUGAUGACGAUGUUCUCUGAACUCUGAUCUCUCUCUCGUGUUUUCAGACAACAAUGAUCAGUAGUAGCAGUAGUCCUUGGCACAAUUUUACUUCUCUGUGUGCAGUCUAAAAGCUAGGAAAAAAAUGGGGGGCAUGAAUACCCGCAUUGCUCUCAUAUCAUCUCCAUGAAUGAAAAAGAAUACAUAGUGCCAUCAUUGUUCAUCCUCUCCCUUUGUUUCGAGUGUUGUCUGAAUCAACUUAAACUUAGCUGACAAUAAGGCUUCAUGUCUCGUUUUUCACCA